AUAGUCUGGUUUCUCUUCAAGUCGUAUAAAUCUUUUGCCUUCUACUAAGGAUUUACAUAAAGAGGAAUAGUUACAAGUUUUUUUUUAGGAUUUUAAAUAUAUACAUAUAUAUAA
Molecule: small nuclear RNA, 114 nt
Organism: Lynx canadensis (Canada lynx)
Lineage: Eukaryota; Metazoa; Chordata; Mammalia; Carnivora; Felidae
Gene: U5
Rfam family: U5 spliceosomal RNA
About the family: U5 RNA is a component of both types of known spliceosome. The precise function of this molecule is unknown, though it is known that the 5' loop is required for splice site selection and p220 binding, and that both the 3' stem-loop and the Sm site are important for Sm protein binding and cap methylation.
Source: Ensembl